AGUUCGGAUUGCAGGCUGCAACCCGCCUGUAUGAAGUUGGAAUCGCUAGUAAUCGCGGAUCAGCAUGCCGCGGUGAAUACGUUCCCGGGCCUUGUACACACCGCCCGUCACACCAUGAGAGUCGGGAACACCCGAAGUCCGUAGUCUAACCGCGAAGGGGGACGCGGCCGAAGGUGGGUUCGAUAAUUGGGGUGAAGUCGUAACAAGGUACC
This 212-nucleotide ribosomal RNA is filed under the name uncultured bacterium. RNAcentral describes it as "partial 16S ribosomal RNA". It matches the Rfam family "Bacterial small subunit ribosomal RNA", at positions 1290 to 1500 of the family's 1533-position model. The record is from RNAcentral.